AUCGAACGCUGGCGGCAGGCUUAACACAUGCAAGUCGAGCGGGCAUCCUUGUCUUGUCAGCGGCAGACGGGUGAGUCACGCGUGUGAACGUGCCCUUCGGUUCGGAAUAACUCAGGGAAACUUGAGCUAAUACCGGAUACGUUCGAGACCACCAGGGUUUGUCUGCCGGAGGAUCGGCCCGCGUCUGCUUAGCUAGUUGGUGAGGUUAUGGCUCCCGAAGGCGACGAUCAGUAGCUGGUCGGAGAGACUUAGCCGACACACCGGGACUGAGACACGGCCCAGACUCCUAGAGAAGGCAGGAGUGGGGAAUAUUGGAAAAUGGGGGCAACCAUGAACCAGCCCGGCCGCGUGAGUGAUGUAGGCCUUAGGGUUGUAAAGCUCUUUUCUACGGGACGAUAAUGACGGUACCGGAGGAAUAAGCCCCGGCUAACUUCGUG
Molecule: ribosomal RNA, 437 nt
Filed under: uncultured bacterium
Lineage: Bacteria
Description: partial 16S ribosomal RNA
Rfam family: Bacterial small subunit ribosomal RNA
Source: RNAcentral